This 253-nucleotide ribosomal RNA is filed under the name uncultured bacterium. RNAcentral's name for it is "partial 16S ribosomal RNA". It matches the Rfam family "Bacterial small subunit ribosomal RNA", at positions 524 to 776 of the family's 1533-position model. The record is from RNAcentral.
GACAGAGGCCUCAAGCGUUAGGCGGAAUCACUGGGCGUAAAGCGCACGUAGGCGGAUUGUUAAGUCAGGGGUGAAAUCCUGGAGCUCAACUCCAGAACUGCCUUUGAUACUGGCGAUCUUGAGUCCGGGAGAGGUGAGUGGAACUGCGAGUGUAGAGGUGAAAUUCGUAGAUAUUCGCAAGAACACCAGUGGCGAAGGCGGCUCACUGGCCCGGUACUGACGCUGAGGUGCGAAAGCGUGGGGAGCAAACAGG